GAUGAAGAACGUAGUGAAAUGCGAUAAGUAGUGUGAAUUGCAGAAUUCAGUGAAUCAUCGAAUCUUUGAACGCACAUUGCGCCCCUUGGUACUCCAUGGGGCAUGCCUGUUCGAGCGUCAUUUACACCCUCAAGCUCAGCUUGGUGUUGGGCGUCUGUCCCGCUUCGUGCGCGGACUCGCCUCAAAUGCAUUGGCAGCGGUCUUGCCAGCUUCUCGCGCAGCACAUUGCGCUUCUAGAGGCUUUGGCGGAUCGGCGUCCAUCAAGUACACCCACAGUUUGACCUCGGAUCAGGUAGGGAUACCCGCUGAACUUAAGCAUAUCAAUAAGCGGAGGA
RNAcentral lists this unclassified non-coding RNA (335 nucleotides) under soil metagenome. Its description in RNAcentral is "partial contains 5.8S ribosomal RNA, internal transcribed spacer 2, and large subunit ribosomal RNA". The stretch from base 1 to 120 matches the Rfam family "5.8S ribosomal RNA", at positions 35 to 154 of the family's 154-position model. The record is from RNAcentral.